RNAcentral lists this ribosomal RNA (517 nucleotides) under Vibrio sp. C4b. RNAcentral describes it as "bacterial SSU rRNA". It matches the Rfam family "Bacterial small subunit ribosomal RNA", at positions 825 to 1343 of the family's 1533-position model. The record is from RNAcentral. Lineage: Bacteria; Pseudomonadati; Pseudomonadota; Gammaproteobacteria; Vibrionales; Vibrionaceae.
UGUGGCCUUGAGCCGUGGCUUUCGGAGCUAACGCGUUAAGUAGACCGCCUGGGGAGUACGGUCGCAAGAUUAAAACUCAAAUGAAUUGACGGGGGCCCGCACAAGCGGUGGAGCAUGUGGUUUAAUUCGAUGCAACGCGAAGANCCUUACCUACUCUUGACAUCCAGAGAAGCCAGCUACGACCNGGUGUGCCUUCGGGAGCUCUGAGACAGGUGCUGCAUGGCUGUCGUCAGCUCGUGUUGUGAAAUGUUGGGUUAAGUCCCGCAACGAGCGCAACCCUUAUCCUUGUUUGCCAGCGAGUAAUGUCGGGAACUCCAGGGAGACUGCCGGUGAUAAACCGGAGGAAGGUGGGGACGACGUCAAGUCAUCAUGGCCCUUACGAGUAGGGCUACACACGUGCUNCAAUGGCGCAUACAGAGGGCAGCAAGCUAGCGAUAGUGAGCGAAUCCCAAAAAGUGCGUCGUAGUCCGGAUUGGAGUCUGCAACUCGACUCCAUGAAGUCGUAUCGUAGAUCUGC